Molecule: ribosomal RNA, 492 nt
Filed under: uncultured bacterium
Lineage: Bacteria
Description: partial 16S ribosomal RNA
Rfam family: Bacterial small subunit ribosomal RNA
Source: RNAcentral
AGUGAACGCUGGCGGUAGGCCUAACACAUGCAAGUCGAACGGCAGCACAGUAAGAGCUUGCUCUUACGGGUGGCGAGUGGCGGACGGGUGAGGAAUACAUCGGAAUCUACUUUUUCGUGGGGGAUAACGUAGGGAAACUUACGCUAAUACCGCAUACGACCUACGGGUGAAAGCAGGGGAUCUUCGGACCUUGCGCGAUUGAAUGAGCCGAUGUCGGAUUAGCUGGUUGGCGGGGUAAAGGCCCACCAAGGCGACGAUCCGUAGCUGGUCUGAGAGGAUGAUCAGCCACACUGGAACUGAGACACGGUCCAGACUCCUGCGGGAGGCAGCAGUGGGGAAUAGUGGACAAUGGGCGCAAGCCUGGUCCAGCCAUACCGCGUGGGUGAAGAAGGCCUUCGGGUUGUAAAGCCCUUUUGUUGGGAAAGAAAAGCAGCAGGUUAAUACCCCGCUGUUCUGACGGUACCCAAAGAAUAAGCACCGGCUAACUUCGUG